This is a long non-coding RNA of Bos taurus (domestic cattle), 1688 nucleotides long. NCBI's taxonomy places the organism in Eukaryota, Metazoa, Chordata, Mammalia, Artiodactyla, Bovidae. The record is from Ensembl.
CAUUUUAUUGAGAGAAAUCUCCUUGCAAAAUAUCUCUCCUCCCACACAUCAAAAUACCCCUGUUUUUGACACAUGUAAAUGUGGUUUUAAUAAGGGAAUAAAAUACAGACUCAGGUACUCCCUCUCCUUUGUUUCUUCAGCCUUUCUCUCUCUCUCUCUUCACUUUUUAUUUUUGAAUUUACUAGCUUGUUGAGGAAAAGAAGGGGUGGGUAGGUGCUAUGUGGAGACAGUCAUGAUGAAAAUCUCUAGCCCCUGAGGGACACAGGUCAAAUUUCUCUGUGCGCUGGCAAAGAAACCCAUAGUCACUGCCAAAACCACAGAGUAAAGUCUUCACAAAAUCCCCUCAGACGGCGAUGUUUUCAGAGUUAAGCCUUUUCAUUUAUAUUUGGACAACCACCUGUUGACUUCUACUGGCGCUUGUCAAGGGCGGAUGGAUAGCGGGAACCUGCAGCAGAAUUAGCCCAUUCAGAGGGCUUGAUGCUCCUCUUUGAAGAAGUUGCCAUUGUUUUCAGUGGAGCCUAGUCAAGGCUCAUAAGAUCAAAACAUGAAAAACAAAAAAGGAAAGAGUUUACUUGGGGCAGGGUCUCGCUCUCCUCUUGUGAUUAUCACAGCUUCCACAGGCCAUCCUUUUAAAUCCAGGAAUCGAUCAGGGCAGUCUUUACGAUGCCUUUCCCAGUCCUGAAAUGCGGUGGGUGAGAGCCAGGGAAAGACAAGGGAGAAAGUCCAGGACAGCAGGGCCUGCUCCAUGGCUGCUGCUCUGCCUGAGCAUUUUCCAGGGCCAAUUCUGCUCCUACCAUGAAGAAAGAGGAGAGGAUGAAGGCAAAGGAAAGCCAGGGGAAGCGAACAGAUUGCAAAAUGUGCUUCAUUUAAACCCAAUCUCAGAUUUGCGAUGGGAGAGUUGACCACCAUAGGAUGGCAUCUUUGGCAAGGGGAUCUUCCCAACCCAGGAAUCAAACUGGCAUCUCCUGCAUUACCAGGCAAAUUCUUUACCGCUGGCCCACCUGGGAAAAGGCGUCUACACUCCUAAUUAAAUCCAGCAUCAACUGCAACCAGACCUGAGGCAAGGCUCAAGCGGGCAAAACAGGAUUAGGGCUUCUGUGAUGCUGGGGUUGCUUAUGAGAUGCUCAGUUCUCAAGAUUUAUCUUCCAAUUCCCCGAACAUGCAUCUAAAAGUAGCAUUUGGUUUUCUAAGCAAUGAAACACAUGUCAGUGAACACACAUGUCAUCGCCACAGCAUAGCCAGGGGAAGAGGUAGGCACUCCGCAGAGCAAAAGAGAGGGUUUUCUCAACUGCCUUCCUCCCCACCCUUGUGUCACUGCCUCUUUGAUCCCAGGCGCUCAUCUACCCUUCUCUCCAGAUGGAUCCCAUCUCUCUAUCAUCUUGAGGGCCACUGUUCUUCCCAAAAGGCCAUGAGCACCUUGUCUUGGCAGGUAUUUCUAAUAGAAAUGGGCAGGCACACACAGAGUUGAAGUGAGAAGAGUUUGAUGAAAGGACUACGCAGAGCAGAGCAGGGUUUGGGGUGUCACCAAAAGGAUGACAGAGCACCUAGAAACUAGCAAGAGUAAGAAGCCCUCACCACCUCCAGGCCUAAGAGGGCAAGAGAUGAGAGAGCUGCAGCUAUACAAGAGGGCUAUCCACCAGGGCUGGAGCCUAGGGGAGCAUGACCACCACCAUGGCCACAGCAGGAAG